Molecule: long non-coding RNA, 713 nt
Filed under: Carica papaya (papaya)
Lineage: Eukaryota; Viridiplantae; Streptophyta; Magnoliopsida; Brassicales; Caricaceae
Description: long non-coding RNA (CPAP_LNC000337)
Source: RNAcentral
UUGGACUGUCACUGAACAUCUUCUGCUUCCACCAAACCAGAAAUCAACCACGCAAGAAUAACAAAAGCUUCAACUAAUCUCGUCAUUGUGAAUAUUAUCUCCACAAAUUUGCAAAUCAAUGGUAAUAUGUUUAUUUUCUCAACCAUAUAUCACACACACACACACACACAUAUAUAUAAGCAGUGGUAAUGUAACAUUAAAUAUUGGCACCUACUUUUCUUGGUUGCAGGUUCUCGUUUGGUAACUUGAACUCCCUUUUUCGGUAUACUUAACUUUGUUCCAGAUUCUUUCCUACUUCUCUGUUCGGUUGUUCUUGUGUUUUUCUUAUUGUGGAUGGUUUUGUUUGAUUAGCAGUCUUUCUUCAUCUCUCUGAACUUUAGCCAUUUAAUCCUAUUGUGUUAGCAGUUGAGUUUUUUUUGAACAGUGAUUGCUGAAGUCAGGAAAUUAUGAUUAUUGUUUCUUUAUUCUGCUUUAAUUAGUAAGUGAUAGUUGAAAGGAGUGGGGAAGCAUGUUUUGAAGCAAGAAAAUCAGCAACUCUUGCGUGUUUUAGUUAAUAAAAUGAUAUGUUUUAUUUUAUUUUUUGCCGACAGCUUAUAUUUGCUGUAACAAAUAUCUUCCCUCAAAAGUGCUAUAUAUAUGUAAGGCUGAUGAACUACAAAAUAUAAAGUUCACUUUUCCAGAAGCUGCCUCUCACUCUGCUGUAUUCUCUUCUG